AGCUAUCUUUUAGAAUCUUGUCUAGAAGGCUUUCUGACUUUGGUCAGAAACCCAU
Molecule: small nuclear RNA, 55 nt
Filed under: Mus pahari (shrew mouse)
Lineage: Eukaryota; Metazoa; Chordata; Mammalia; Rodentia; Muridae
Description: snRNA (MGP_PahariEiJ_G0033196.1)
Rfam family: U7 small nuclear RNA
About the family: Animal histone pre-mRNAs are spliced by a different mechanism than nuclear pre-mRNAs and self-splicing introns. This processing involves the U7 snRNP, which contains only one RNA species: U7. The 5' end of U7 RNA is thought to base-pair to a conserved spacer element downstream of the cleavage site in histone pre-mRNA.
Source: RNAcentral